GGGUUGUGAGGUUAAGCGACUAAGCGUACACGGUGGAUGCCUAGGCAAUCAGAGGCGAUGAAGGACGUGCUAAUCUGCGAUAAGCGUCGGUAAGGUGAUAUGAACCGUGAUAACCGACGAUUUCCGAAUGGGGAAACCCAGUGCAAUUCGUUGCACUAUCGUUUGAUGAAUACAUAGUCAAACGAAGCGAACCGGGGGAACUGAAACAUCUCAGUACCCCGAGGAAAAGAAAUCAACCGAGAUUCCCCUAGUAGCGGCGAGCGAACGGGGAGCAGCCCAGAGUCUUAAUCAACAUUAGCAUCAGGAGAACGGUCUGGAAAGGCCGGCAGUAAAGGGUGAUAGCCCCGUAUCCGAAGGUGUUAGUGUUGUGAACUCGACGAGUAGGGCGGGACACGUGUUAUCCUGUCUGAAUAUGGGGGACCAUCCUCCAAGGCUAAAUACUCCUGAUUGACCGAUAGUGAACCAGUACCGUGAGGGAAAGGCGAAAAGAACCCCGGCGAGGGGAGUGAAAUAGAACCUGAAACCGUGUACGUACAAGCAGUGGGAGCCCCACCACCAAAGCAUUUUCUGGUGUUGAGGACAACUUUGAAGUGACAUUCAACACGCGUUGGCGGAGCGUUUUUUGCGACGCCCAACACACAAAACAAGCAGUGAAUGUGCUUUGGGGUGGGGUGACUGCGUACCUUUUGUAUAAUGGGUCAGCGACUUAUAUUCUGUAGCAAGGUUAACCGUAUAGGGGAGCCGUAGGGAAACCGAGUCUUAACUGGGCGAAUAAGUUGCAGGGUAUAGACCCGAAACCCGGUGAUCUAGCCAUGGGCAGGUUGAAGGUUGGGUAACACUAACUGGAGGACCGAACCGACUAAUGUUGAAAAAUUAGCGGAUGACUUGUGGCUGGGGGUGAAAGGCCAAUCAAACCGGGAGAUAGCUGGUUCUCCCCGAAAGCUAUUUAGGUAGCGCCUCGUGAACUCAUCUUCGGGGUAGAGCACUGUUUCGACUAGGGGGUCAUCCCGACUUACCAACUCGAUGCAAACUACGAAUACCGAAGAAUGUUAUCACGGGAGACACACGGCGGGUGCUAACGUUCGUCGUGAAGAGGGAAACAACCCAGACCGCCAGCUAAGGUCCCAAAGUCAUAGUUAAGUGGGAAACGAAGUGGGAAGGCUCAGACAGCCAGGAUGUUGGCUUAGAAGCAGCCAUCAUUUAAAGAAAGCGUAAUAGCUCACUGGUCGAGUCGGCCUGCGCGGAAGAUGUAACGGGGCUAAACUAUGCACCGAAGCUGCGGCAGCGAUAUGUAAAUAUUGUUGGGUAGGGGAGCGUUCUGUAAGCCUGUGAAGGUGUACUGCGAGGUAUGCUGGAGGUAUCAGAAGUGCGAAUGCUGACAUAAGUAACGAUAAUGCGGGUGAAAAACCCGCACGCCGGAAGACCAAGGGUUCCUGUCCAACGUUAAUCGGGGCAGGGUGAGUCGACCCCUAAGGCGAGGCAGAAAUGCGUAGUCGAUGGGAAACGGGUUAAUAUUCCCGUACUGGUGAUAAUUGCGAUGGGGGGACGGAGAAGGCUAGGCUAUCCGGGCGACGGUUGUCCCGGUUUAAGGAUGUAGGCAGGUGAAUUAGGCAAAUCCGGUUCACUAUAUGCUGAGGUCCGACGACGAGUCACUACGGUGAUGAAGUAGCUCAUGCCCCGCUUCCAGGAAAAGCCUCUAAGCUCUAGAUUAUCAUUAAUCGUACCCCAAACCGACACAGGUGGUCAGGUAGAGAAUACUCAGGCGCUUGAGAGAACUCGGGUGAAGGAACUAGGCAAAAUGGUGCCGUAACUUCGGGAGAAGGCACGCUGGCGCUAGGUGAAGUCCCUCGCGGAUGGAGCUGAAGCCAGUCGCAGAUACCAGCUGGCUGCAACUGUUUAUUAAAAACACAGCACUGUGCAAACACGAAAGUGGACGUAUACGGUGUGACGCCUGCCCGGUGCUGGAAGGUUAAUUGAUGGGGUUAUCCGUAAGGAGAAGCUCUUGAUCGAAGCCCCAGUAAACGGCGGCCGUAACUAUAACGGUCCUAAGGUAGCGAAAUUCCUUGUCGGGUAAGUUCCGACCUGCACGAAUGGCGUAAUGAUGGCCAGGCUGUCUCCACCCGAGACUCAGUGAAAUUGAACUCGCUGUGAAGAUGCAGUGUACCCGCGGCAAGACGGAAAGACCCCGUGAACCUUUACUAUAGCUUGACACUGAACAUUGAGCCUUGAUGUGUAGGAUAGGUGGGAGGCUUUGAAGUGUGGACGCCAGUCUGCAUGGAGCCAACCUUGAAAUACCACCCUUUAAUGUUUGAUGUUCUAACGUAGCCCCGUUAUCCGGGGUGCGGACAGUGUCUGGUGGGUAGUUUGACUGGGGCGGUCUCCUCCCAAAGAGUAACGGAGGAGCACGAAGGUUGGCUAAGCAUGGUCGGACAUCAUGCGGUUAGUGCAAAGGCAUAAGCCAGCUUGACUGCGAGAGUGACGGCUCGAGCAGGUACGAAAGUAGGUCUUAGUGAUCCGGUGGUUCUGAAUGGAAGGGCCAUCGCUCAACGGAUAAAAGGUACUCCGGGGAUAACAGGCUGAUACCGCCCAAGAGUUCAUAUCGACGGCGGUGUUUGGCACCUCGAUGUCGGCUCAUCACAUCCUGGGGCUGAAGUAGGUCCCAAGGGUACGGCUGUUCGCCGUUUAAAGUGGUACGCGAGCUGGGUUUAGAACGUCGUGAGACAGUUCGGUCCCUAUCUGCCGUGGGCGUUGGAAGAUUGAAAGGGGCUGCUCCUAGUACGAGAGGACCGGAGUGGACGCACCACUGGUGUUCGGGUUGUCAUGCCAAUGGCAUUGCCCGGUAGCUAAGUGCGGAAGAGAUAACCGCUGAAAGCAUCUAAGCGGGAAACUUGCCUUGAGAUGAGUCUUCCCUGACCCUUAAAGGGUCCUAAAGGAACGUUUAAGACUAAGACGUUGAUAGGUUGGGUGUGUAAGCGUAGCGAUACGUUGAGCUAACCAAUACUAAUGAACCGUGAGGCUUAACCUGACAACACCGAAGGUGUUUUAG
Molecule: ribosomal RNA, 3046 nt
Filed under: Providencia rettgeri
Lineage: Bacteria; Pseudomonadati; Pseudomonadota; Gammaproteobacteria; Enterobacterales; Morganellaceae
Description: bacterial LSU rRNA
Rfam family: Bacterial large subunit ribosomal RNA
Source: RNAcentral